CUAGCUAUACCAUAUAAUGCUUGAAAGUAUUAAUCAUACUUACAAUUAAGUGUUACUUUUACUUCAAUUGAUUUUUCAUCCGUUAGAAUGUAGCUCUGAGCCACACACUUGUACGUUCCAAUGUCUUGCUUACCCACAUUAGUGAGAGUUAAACUAUUUUCUCCAUAACUUGCGUUACCAAGCUGUUGGUUUCCAUCUUUAUACCAAGUUACAUUGGCUGGAGGGUUUCCACCUUCACUUCUACCAACACAUGUAAGGUCAUCACCUUCGUCUAAUGUGAUACGACUGGAACAAUUGAUGAUUAAAUUUGGUUUCACUGAAUGAAA
Non-coding RNA from Paramuricea clavata, 326 nucleotides. NCBI's taxonomy places the organism in Eukaryota, Metazoa, Cnidaria, Anthozoa, Malacalcyonacea, Plexauridae. The record is from the annotation of a GenBank genome assembly.